AUUGAACGCUGGCGGCAUGCCUUACACAUGCAAGUCGAACGGCAGCAUGGAGAGCUUGCUCUCUGAUGGCGAGUGGCGAACGGGUGAGUAAUGCAUCGGAACGUACCGUGUAAUGGGGGAUAACGUAGCGAAAGUUACGCUAAUACCGCAUACGACCUGAGGGUGAAAGCAGGGGAUCGCAAGACCUUGCGUUAUACGAGCGGCCGAUGUCAGAUUAGCUAGUUGGUAGGGUAAAGGCCUACCAAGGCGACGAUCUGUAGCGGGUCUGAGAGGAUGAUCCGCAGCGCUGGGACUGAGACACGGCGCAGACUCCUACGGGAGGCAGCAGUGGGGAAGUUUGGACAAUGGGGGAAACCCUGAUCCAGCCAUGCCGCGUGAGUGAAGAAGGCCUUCGGGUUGUAAAGCUCUUUCGGCUGGGAAGAAAUCGCACAGGCUAAUACUCUGUGUGGAUGACGGUACCAGCAUAAGAAGCACCGGCUAACUACGUGCCAGCCGCCGCCGUAA
RNAcentral lists this ribosomal RNA (504 nucleotides) under uncultured bacterium. RNAcentral's name for it is "partial 16S ribosomal RNA". It matches the Rfam family "Bacterial small subunit ribosomal RNA", at positions 30 to 523 of the family's 1533-position model. The record is from RNAcentral.